AUGGAUGUAGCAGUUUCAAAAUGUUACAGUAAAGACAUGAAAUAUAAUUUGAACUUAAGAAAACAGCCAAAAGGUGGAACUCAUUUUUACUCUGCCGAGAGUCUUGGUCAAAUUUUAUCAAGACUUUUUCCAGCUUUGGAAAGAAUUGUAUACAAUACGUGUUCAAUAAAUCAAAUUGAGAAUGAAGAUGUUGUGAAAUUUGUCCUGCCUAUAGCCGAGUCGUAUGGAUUCCAACUGGCAAAGUCAUUACCCGAAUGGGCAUGUCUUGGCCUUCAA
This 276-nucleotide long non-coding RNA is filed under the name Vicia faba (fava bean). Lineage: Eukaryota; Viridiplantae; Streptophyta; Magnoliopsida; Fabales; Fabaceae. The record is from RNAcentral.